UACGUAGGCCGCAAGCGUUGUUCGGAAUUACUGGGCGUAAAGCGUGCGCAGGCGGUUUUGUAAGCCAGAUGUGAAAUCCCCGGGCUCAACCUGGGAAUGGCAUUUGGGACUGCAAGGCUGGAGUGUGGCAGAGGAGACUGGAAUUCCUGGUGUAGCAGUGAAAUGCGUAGAUAUCAGGAGGAAUACCGAUGGCGAAGGCAGGUCUCUGGGCUGACACUGACGCUCAUGCACGAAAGCGUGGGGAGCAAACAGG
This 253-nucleotide ribosomal RNA is filed under the name uncultured bacterium. RNAcentral's name for it is "partial 16S ribosomal RNA". It matches the Rfam family "Bacterial small subunit ribosomal RNA", at positions 524 to 776 of the family's 1533-position model. The record is from RNAcentral.